UCUACCUACGGGGGGCAGCAGUGGGGGAUAUUGCACAAUGGGCGAAAGCCUGAUGCAGCGACGCCGCGUGAGGGAAGACGGUCUUCGGAUUGUAAACCUCUGUCUUUGGGGAAGAAAUCAGACGGUACCCAAAGAGGAAGCUCCGGCUAACUACGUGCCAGCAGCCGCGGUAAUACGUAGGGAGCGAGCGUUGUCCGGAAUUACUGGGUGUAAAGGGAGCGUAGGCGGGCUUGUAAGUUGAAUGUCUAAUCCACCGGCUCAACCGGUGAUCGCGGUCAAAAAUGCAGGUCUUGAGGGACGUAGAG
This 305-nucleotide ribosomal RNA is filed under the name uncultured bacterium. RNAcentral's name for it is "bacterial SSU rRNA". It matches the Rfam family "Bacterial small subunit ribosomal RNA", at positions 334 to 656 of the family's 1533-position model. The record is from RNAcentral.